AAUCAACGCUGGCGGCGUGCCUCAGACAUGCAAGUCGAACGCGAAAGUCCCCUUCGGGGGACAAGUAGAGUGGCGCACGGGUGAGUAACACGUAGGUAAUCUACCUUCGGAUGGGGAAUAACAACCGGAAACGGUUGCUAAUACCGCAUAAUGCAGCGGCACCUAAUGGUGACAGUUGUUAAAGCGGGGAUUGAAAGACCUCGCGUCUGAAGAGGAGCCUGCGG
This 224-nucleotide ribosomal RNA is filed under the name uncultured bacterium. RNAcentral describes it as "partial 16S ribosomal RNA". It matches the Rfam family "Bacterial small subunit ribosomal RNA", at positions 32 to 236 of the family's 1533-position model. The record is from RNAcentral.